CGGUGAGCAUGACCACCUUCCAAUGUUAGAUUAAAGUUUUCAAAGGGGUUUGGUUCCACCCCAUUUUUUUUUGUCAACUUCCAAUUUUUAAUUUUGGUUUUCCAGAUGGAUUUUUUUUUACCCCGUUCUUUCGGGUCUUGUCUUGGAAUGAGUACAAUUUAAAUCCCUUAACGAGGAACAAUUGGAGGGCAAGUCUGGUGCCAGCAGCCGCGGUAAUUCCAGCUCCAAUAGCGUAUAUUAAAGUUGUUGCAGUUAAAAAGCUCGUAGUUGAAUUUCGGGGUUCCACCGUUGGUCGGGCUAUUGUCUGUACUGGCGUGUGGAAUUUCUACCUUCUGGGGAACUAUCAUGUUAUUAAUUUAGCGUGGUAGGAAACCAGAACCUUUACCUUGAAAAAAUUAGAGUGUUCAAAGCAGGCUUAUGUCUGAAUACAUUAGCAUGGAAUAAUAAAAUAGGACGGUGGUCCUGUUUUGUUGGUUUCUGAAUCACCGUAAUGAUUAAUAGGGAUAGUUGGGGGCAUUAGUAUUCAAUUGUCAGAGGUGAAAAUUCUUGGAUUUAUUGAAGACUAACUACUGCGAAAGCAUUUGCCAAGGAUGUUUUCCUUUAAUCGAGAACGAAAGGUU
RNAcentral lists this ribosomal RNA (620 nucleotides) under Dentiscutata heterogama. Its description in RNAcentral is "partial small subunit ribosomal RNA". The stretch from base 76 to 620 matches the Rfam family "Eukaryotic small subunit ribosomal RNA", at positions 1 to 992 of the family's 1831-position model. The record is from RNAcentral. Lineage: Eukaryota; Fungi; Glomeromycota; Glomeromycetes; Diversisporales; Gigasporaceae.